UUCGCAAUGCCCGAAAGGGUGACGAAGCGACGCCGCGUGCGGGAAGAAGGCCUUCGGGUUGUAAACCGCUGUCGGGAGUUAAGAAAUGCAAGGGUGUUAACAGCAUCCUUGCUUGACUAAGGCUCCGGAGGAAGCCACGGCUAACUCUGUGCCAGCAGCCGCGAUAAUACAGAGGCGGCAAGCGUUGUUCGGAAUUAUUGGGCGUAAAGAGCACGUAGGCGGCUGUGUAAGUCGGUUGUGAAAGCCUUCCGCUCAACGGGAGAACGGCAUCCGAUACUGCAUGGCUUGAGUGCGGGGGGGGAGAGUGGAACUUCUGGUGGAGCGGUGAAAUGCGUAGAUAUCAGAAGGAACACCGGCGGCGAAGGCGACUCUCUGGCCCGUAACUGACGCUGAGUGUGCGAAAGCUAGGGGAGCAAACGGGAUUAGAUACCCCGGUAGUCCUAGCCGUAAACGAUGGGCACUAAGUAGAGGGGUUUUA
RNAcentral lists this ribosomal RNA (478 nucleotides) under uncultured bacterium. RNAcentral describes it as "bacterial SSU rRNA". It matches the Rfam family "Bacterial small subunit ribosomal RNA", at positions 365 to 833 of the family's 1533-position model. The record is from RNAcentral.